AGAUGAAGAACGUAGCGAAAUGCGAUAAGUAGUGUGAAUUGCAGAAUUCAGUGAAUCAUCGAAUCUUUGAACGCACAUUGCGCCCCUCGGUAUUCCGUGGGGCAUGCCUGUUCGAGCGUCAUUUACACCCUCAAGCUCUGCUUGGUGUUGGGCGUCUGUCCCGCCUCCGUGCGCGGACUCGCCUCAAAGUCAUUGGCAGCGGUCUCGUCGGCUUCUCGCGCAGCACAUUUGCGCUUCUUGGAGCCCCGGCGGAUCAGCGUCCAGCAAGCAAUUUCAUGACUUGACCUCGGAUCAGGUAGGGAUACCCGCUGAACUUAAGCAUAUCAAUAAGCGGAGGA
RNAcentral lists this unclassified non-coding RNA (338 nucleotides) under soil metagenome. RNAcentral describes it as "partial contains 5.8S ribosomal RNA, internal transcribed spacer 2, and large subunit ribosomal RNA". The stretch from base 2 to 121 matches the Rfam family "5.8S ribosomal RNA", at positions 35 to 154 of the family's 154-position model. The record is from RNAcentral.